UACAGAGGGUGCGAGCGUUGUCCGGAAUCACUGGGCGUAAAGGGCGCGUAGGUGGCGUCGCAAGUCGAUGGUGAAAGCUCGGCGCUCAACGCCGAGUCGGCCCUUGAUACUGCGAGGCUGGAGCACUGUAGAGGCUAAUGGAAUUCCGGGUGUAGCGGUGGAAUGCGUAGAGAUCCGGGAAGAACACCGGUGGCGAAGGCGGGUUAGCUGGGCAGUUGGCUGACACUGGAGGCGCGACAGCGUGGGGAGCAAACAGG
RNAcentral lists this ribosomal RNA (257 nucleotides) under uncultured bacterium. Its description in RNAcentral is "partial 16S ribosomal RNA". It matches the Rfam family "Bacterial small subunit ribosomal RNA", at positions 524 to 776 of the family's 1533-position model. The record is from RNAcentral.